CUACGGGCGGCUGCAGUGAGGAAUAUUGCACAAUGGAGGAAACUCUGAUGCAGCAACGCCGCGUGGAGGAUGACGCAUUUCGGUGUGUAAACUCCUUUUAUAUGUCAAGAAAAUGACGGUAGCAUAUGAAUAAGCUCACGGCUAACUCCGUGCCAGCAGCCGCGGUAAUACGGAGGGAGCAAGCGUUACUCGGAAUCACUGGGCGUAAAGGACGCGUAGGCGGGAUAGAAAGUCAGGUGUGAAAUCCUAUGGCUCAACCAUAGAACUGCACUUGAAACUUCUAACCUAGAGUAUGGGAGGGGAAGAUGGAAUUAGUGGUGUAGGGGUAAAAUCCGUAGAUAUCACUAGGAAUACCAAAAGCGAAGGCGAUCUUCUGGAACAAUACUGACGCUAAGGCGUGAAAGCGUGGGGAGCAAACAGGAUUAGAUACCCUUGAGUC
RNAcentral lists this ribosomal RNA (439 nucleotides) under uncultured bacterium. Its description in RNAcentral is "partial 16S ribosomal RNA". It matches the Rfam family "Bacterial small subunit ribosomal RNA", at positions 339 to 795 of the family's 1533-position model. The record is from RNAcentral.